RNAcentral lists this ribosomal RNA (48 nucleotides) under Myelochroa galbina. Its description in RNAcentral is "partial 18S ribosomal RNA". Lineage: Eukaryota; Fungi; Ascomycota; Lecanoromycetes; Lecanorales; Parmeliaceae. The record is from RNAcentral.
AUCCGCUUCGCGGCUGGCGAAUUUGUGGAACCUGCGGAAGGAUCAUUA